Molecule: ribosomal RNA, 2292 nt
Filed under: Stemonitopsis hyperopta
Lineage: Eukaryota; Evosea; Eumycetozoa; Stemonitida; Stemonitidae
Description: bacterial SSU rRNA
Rfam family: Eukaryotic small subunit ribosomal RNA
Source: RNAcentral
UCCUGCCAGUAGCGUAUGCUUCUCCUAAAGAUUAAGCCAUGCAUGCUCUGACUAGAGUUGACAAUCUACUCGAAUCUGCGAACGGCUCCGCACACCAGUUAUAACCAUCGGCCGCGUCUCUCGUGUUGUUGCAGCUAAUGCCCAGUGAAAACCAAGCACAAUGUUCGGAUGAUGACAGGAGAUACAUGGAUAUCCAUGGCAAUUCUGUGGCUAAUACAUGAUAGUUACCACCGGAUUGCUCGUGGUAGGGGGGGGCUUUUUUCCCAACUGGGCCUUCGGGCUUGCGCGGGGGGGGGCUCAUAAAACGAACCUACUGUGGGUGGUCUGGGGGAGUGUGAGGUUUAAUUGGCUUGGCUUCUUCGGGACAGAGCGCACUUCCUUUACCCUGCUCCGGGCUCCCUUUCGGGGGGGUCCGGGCGCACUGGGGGGCACAAACCUGGUUGGCGUCCUUUCCUCGGCCCUCACGGGCUAGGGAUUGGGGGUUGGCUGGGGGCGUCCCUCUGGUGGGUCAUUGCCUGGGUAUCUGACCUAUCAACUAGAAUGUGACGUAAAGGAUUGCUGUGGUUGCGACGGGUACAGAGGAUUAGGGUUCGAUCCUGGAGAGUGGGCCUGAGAGAUUGCUCAUACUUCUAAGGAAGGCAGCAGGCGCGCAACGUUCCCAAUGGGCUAUUGCCCGAGGGCGUUAGGGGAAAUAUGAAUGGUCACCGUAAAAAGUGGCUAAUUCAAAUGGGACUACUGUAAACUGGUGGGCGAGUAACCAUUAGAGGACAAGUCUGGUGCCAGCACCCGCGGUAAUUCCAGCUCUAAUAGCAUACGUUAAAGUUGUUGCGGUUAAAACGCUCGUAGUCGCGCAUAGGUCGCUCAGAAACCCUUGCCGGCAAACCUGGUCCAUCCCCCGCAAGGGGGGUGCUGGGGGAGCUGCUUGGGCAGACGACGACCGCCAGCGCUUAUCUGGCGUGCGAGCCUUUUGGCUUGAUUACAGGGGCCACCACUCCAAAGGUCCCCCUUGGAAUCCUCCGAUAAGGGGGCUCCCUGCGUCUUCUGACAAGGGGUGCUCUACUGCGGUCCGAUUCCCUGGGGGGCUGGUGUGUCCUGGCUGGGUAGGUGCCUUAUUGCCAUGAUCAAACUGGCGUGAUUAAAGCAGACCCUCCGCGGUCUCUGCACAGCUCAGCAUGGCAUAAGGGUUGCAGGCUGUUCCCCAUCCAAGUCUGGGGGGCGGUCAGCAGUCUGGUGCAAAGGGGUGUUUCGGGGUGACGGAAUUGCUGGGCGAGUGGUGAAAUACGUUGACCCUAGCAAGUCUACCAAAAGCGAAAGCAGUCACCAGGGGCCUUCCCGUUGAUCAAGAGCGAAAGUUAAGGGUUCGAAAACGAUCAGAUACCGUUGUAGUCUUAACUGUAAAUGUUACUGGCCAGAGAUAGGGCGAUGUCCAUCUCGACUCCCUCCGGAACUUGGGGAAACUAUAGCCUUUGAGUUCCGGGGGGAGUAUGGUCGCAAGGCUGAAACUUAAAGGAAUUGACGGAAGGGCACACAAAGAGUGGAACCUGCGGCUUAAUUUGACUCAACACGGGAAAACUCACCAGGUCCGGAUACAUGUAUGAAGGACAGACUGGGCGAUCUUUCCCAAUAAUGUAAGUGGUGGUGCAUGGCCGUUCUUAGUUCGUGGAUUGGUCUGUCUGGUUAAUUCCGAUAACGAGCAAGAUCCCAACGCUCUGACUAGGGGGGUCAGCCAAGCUUGGUGCCCUGCGCUGCGGUUGUGGUGUGUUCCUUGGGCUCUUGCUCCUUCACGGGGGCGGGGGCAUGGGGGGCAUGUUGCGGCUGUAGUUUGGGGGUGCCUCGCUAGCUGGCUCCUGCAAACGCGAGUUUCUUCUUAGACGGAUCGGGGCCGAUAAGGUCUCUGAAAUGGGGUAAUAACAGGUCAGUGAUGCCCUUAGAUGUUCUGGGCCGCACGCGCGUUACAAUGGCAAGUAUAGCGAGCGGUACCGACAGUCACGCCUAAUAAGCGGGGCUUCGGUCUAUUCCAGUGCCUUCGGGCAAUCUUGGUAACCCAAAAGGCUUGCCUCGACUGGGAUAGCCCAUUGGAAUUAUUGGUCUUCAACGAGGAAUUUUUAGUAGUCGCGGGUCAUUAGCCCGCGACGAAUUAGUCCCUGCCCUUUGUACACACCGCCCGUCGCUGCUACCGAUUGGGUACAACGGUUAUGCGUUCGGAGGAUGGGGCAACUGCCAGCUUCCGGGCUGGCGGAACCCCCAUCCGAAGUUCUAGUUACCGUCGUGCCUAGAGGAAGCAGAAGUCGA